GUUGGUGUCAAUGAUAACGAGGGUCCACCUGUUCCCAUCCCGAACACAGAAGUUAAGCUCGUUGAUGUCGACAAUACUUGGCUGGAGACGGCCCGGGACGAUAGAAAGACGCCAACA
RNAcentral lists this ribosomal RNA (117 nucleotides) under Bacillota bacterium. The record is from RNAcentral. Lineage: Bacteria; Bacillati; Bacillota.